RNAcentral lists this ribosomal RNA (460 nucleotides) under uncultured bacterium. Its description in RNAcentral is "partial 16S ribosomal RNA". It matches the Rfam family "Bacterial small subunit ribosomal RNA", at positions 338 to 795 of the family's 1533-position model. The record is from RNAcentral.
CCUACGGGAGGCAGCAGUGAGGAAUAUUGGGCAAUGGGCGGGAGCCUGAACCAGCAAAGUCGCGUGAGGGAAGACGGUCCUAUGGAUUGUAAACCCCUUUAGGCGGGGAGCAAUGCCGGGCACGCGUGCCCGGAGGGGGAGUACCCGCAGAAUAAGCAGCGGCUAAGUCAGUGCCAGCAGCCGCGGUAAUACGGAGGAUGCGAGCGUGAUCCGGAUGUAUGGGGUUAAAGGGGAGCGUAGGCGGAUUUUUAAGGCAGCGGUAAAAUGUCCGGGUUAAACCCGGGCCGGCCGUUGAAACUGGGGAUCUUGAGUGGGCGAGAGGUAUGCGGAAUGCGGGGUGUAGCGGUGAAAUGCGUAGAUAUUAGGAGGAACACCAGUGGCGAAGGCGGCUUACUGGACUGUAACUGACGUUGAGGCUCGAAAGCGUGGGGAGCAAACAGGAUUAGAUACCCUGGUAGUC